Molecule: ribosomal RNA, 468 nt
Filed under: uncultured bacterium
Lineage: Bacteria
Description: partial 16S ribosomal RNA
Rfam family: Bacterial small subunit ribosomal RNA
Source: RNAcentral
GACGAACGCUGGCGGCGUGCUUAACACAUGCAAGUCGAACGGAAAGGCCCUGCUUUUGUGGGGUGCUCGAGUGGCGAACGGGUGAGUAACACGUGAGUAACCUGUCCUUGACUUUGGGAUAACUUCAGGAAACUGGGGCUAAUACCGGAUAGGAGCUCCUGCUGCAUGGUGGGGGUUGGAAAGUUUCGGCGGUUGGGGAUGGACUCGCGGCUUAUCAGCUUGUUGGUGGGGUAGUGGCUUACCAAGGCUUUGACGGGUAGCCGGCCUGAGAGGGUGGCCGGCCACAUUGGGACUGAGAUACGGCCCAGACUCCUACGGGAGGCAGCAGUGGGGAAUAUUGCACAAUGGGCGGAAGCCUGAUGCAGCAACGCCGCGUGCGGGAUGACGGCCUUCGGGUUGUAAACCGCUUUCGCCUGUGACGAAGCGUGAGUGACGGUAAUGGGUAAAGAAGCACCGGCUAACUACGUG